This 1463-nucleotide ribosomal RNA is filed under the name Streptococcus thermophilus. RNAcentral describes it as "bacterial SSU rRNA". It matches the Rfam family "Bacterial small subunit ribosomal RNA". Lineage: Bacteria; Bacillati; Bacillota; Bacilli; Lactobacillales; Streptococcaceae. The record is from RNAcentral.
GGACGAACGCUGGCGGCGUGCCUAAUACAUGCAAGUAGAACGCUGAAGAGAGGAGCUUGCUCUUCUUGGAUGAGUUGCGAACGGGUGAGUAACGCGUAGGUAACCUGCCUUGUAGCGGGGGAUAACUAUUGGAAACGAUAGCUAAUACCGCAUAACAAUGGAUGACACAUGUCAUUUAUUUGAAAGGGGCAAUUGCUCCACUACAAGAUGGACCUGCGUUGUAUUAGCUAGUAGGUGAGGUAAUGGCUCACCUAGGCGACGAUACAUAGCCGACCUGAGAGGGUGAUCGGCCACACUGGGACUGAGACACGGCCCAGACUCCUACGGGAGGCAGCAGUAGGGAAUCUUCGGCAAUGGGGGCAACCCUGACCGAGCAACGCCGCGUGAGUGAAGAAGGUUUUCGGAUCGUAAAGCUCUGUUGUAAGUCAAGAACGGGUGUGAGAGUGGAAAGUUCACACUGUGACGGUAGCUUACCAGAAAGGGACGGCUAACUACGUGCCAGCAGCCGCGGUAAUACGUAGGUCCCGAGCGUUGUCCGGAUUUAUUGGGCGUAAAGCGAGCGCAGGCGGUUUGAUAAGUCUGAAGUUAAAGGCUGUGGCUCAACCAUAGUUCGCUUUGGAAACUGUCAAACUUGAGUGCAGAAGGGGAGAGUGGAAUUCCAUGUGUAGCGGUGAAAUGCGUAGAUAUAUGGAGGAACACCGGUGGCGAAAGCGGCUCUCUGGUCUGUAACUGACGCUGAGGCUCGAAAGCGUGGGGAGCGAACAGGAUUAGAUACCCUGGUAGUCCACGCCGUAAACGAUGAGUGCUAGGUGUUGGAUCCUUUCCGGGAUUCAGUGCCGCAGCUAACGCAUUAAGCACUCCGCCUGGGGAGUACGACCGCAAGGUUGAAACUCAAAGGAAUUGACGGGGGCCCGCACAAGCGGUGGAGCAUGUGGUUUAAUUCGAAGCAACGCGAAGAACCUUACCAGGUCUUGACAUCCCGAUGCUAUUUCUAGAGAUAGAAAGUUACUUCGGUACAUCGGUGACAGGUGGUGCAUGGUUGUCGUCAGCUCGUGUCGUGAGAUGUUGGGUUAAGUCCCGCAACGAGCGCAACCCCUAUUGUUAGUUGCCAUCAUUCAGUUGGGCACUCUAGCGAGACUGCCGGUAAUAAACCGGAGGAAGGUGGGGAUGACGUCAAAUCAUCAUGCCCCUUAUGACCUGGGCUACACACGUGCUACAAUGGUUGGUACAACGAGUUGCGAGUCGGUGACGGCGAGCUAAUCUCUUAAAGCCAAUCUCAGUUCGGAUUGUAGGCUGCAACUCGCCUACAUGAAGUCGGAAUCGCUAGUAAUCGCGGAUCAGCACGCCGCGGUGAAUACGUUCCCGGGCCUUGUACACACCGCCCGUCACACCACGAGAGUUUGUAACACCCGAAGUCGGUGAGGUAACCUUUUGGAGCCAGCCGCCUAAGGUGGGACAGAUGA